RNAcentral lists this ribosomal RNA (724 nucleotides) under Bacillus sp. sjc01.ost.em. Its description in RNAcentral is "bacterial SSU rRNA". It matches the Rfam family "Bacterial small subunit ribosomal RNA", at positions 30 to 745 of the family's 1533-position model. Lineage: Bacteria; Bacillati; Bacillota; Bacilli; Caryophanales; Bacillaceae. The record is from RNAcentral.
CAACCACGCUGGCGGCGUGCCUAAUACUUGCAAGUCGAGCGGAUCUUCAUUAGCUUGCUUUGGAAGAUCAGCGGCGGACGGGUGAGUAACACGUGGGCAACCUGCCUGUAAGACUGGGAUAACUUCGGGAAACCGGAGCUAAUACCGGAUAAUCCUUUCCCUCACAUGAGGGAAAGCUGAAAGACGGUUUCGGCUGUCACUUACAGAUGGGCCCGCGGCGCAUUAGCUAGUUGGUGAGGUAACGGCUCACCAAGGCAACGAUGCGUAGCCGACCUGAGAGGGUGAUCGGCCACACUGGGACUGAGACACGGCCCAGACUCCUACGGGAGGCAGCAGUAGGGAAUCUUCCGCAAUGGACGAAAGUCUGACGGAGCAACGCCGCGUGAACGAUGAAGGCUUUCGGGUCGUAAAGUUCUGUUGUCAGGGAAGAACAAGUACCGGAGUAACUGCCGGUACCUUGACGGUACCUGACCAGAAAGCCACGGCUAACUACGUGCCAGCAGCCGCGGUAAUACGUAGGUGGCAAGCGUUGUCCGGAAUUAUUGGGCGUAAAGCGCGCGCAGGCGGUUCCUUAAUCUGAUGUGAAACCCCCGGCUCAACCGGGGAGGGGCAUUGGAAACUGGGGAACUUGGUGCAAAAAGGAGAGCGGCAUUCCCCUGUACGGGGAAAUGCGUAGGGAUGUGGGAGGACCGUUGGGAAGGGGGCUCCCGCUUUCCCCCGGGCG